This 418-nucleotide ribosomal RNA is filed under the name uncultured crenarchaeote. RNAcentral's name for it is "bacterial SSU rRNA". It matches the Rfam family "Archaeal small subunit ribosomal RNA", at positions 268 to 694 of the family's 1478-position model. The record is from RNAcentral. Lineage: Archaea; Thermoproteati; Thermoproteota.
GCGGGCCGUGAGAGCGGGAGCCCGGAGAUGGGCACUGAGACAAGGGCCCAGGCCCUACGGGGCGCAGCAGUCGCGAAAACUUUGCAAUACACGAAAGUGUGACAGGGCUAUCCCGAGUGCCAUCCGCUGAGGAAGGCUUUUACCCAGUCUAGAACGCUGGGGGAAUAAGGAGAGGGCAAGUCUGGUGUCAGCCGCCGCGGUAAUACCAGCUCUCCGAGUGGUGUGGAUGUUUAUUGGGCCUAAAGCAUCCGUAGCUGGCUAGGUAAGUCCUUUGUUAAAUCCACCGAAUUAAUCGUUGGAUCGCGGGGGAUACUGCUUGGCUAGGGGACGAGAGAGGCAGACGGAUUUUUGGGGUAGGGGUGAAUCCUAUAAUCCCAGGAAGACACCAGUGGCGAAGCUGUCUGCUAGACGCGCCCGA